This 349-nucleotide ribosomal RNA is filed under the name uncultured bacterium. RNAcentral's name for it is "partial 16S ribosomal RNA". It matches the Rfam family "Bacterial small subunit ribosomal RNA", at positions 338 to 701 of the family's 1533-position model. The record is from RNAcentral.
CCUACGGGAGGCAGCAGUGGGGGAUAUUGGACAAUGGGGGAAACCCUGAUCCAGCGACGCCGCGUGAGUGAAGAAGUAUUUCGGUAUGUAAAGCUCUGUCAGCAGGGAAGAAAGAAAUGACGGUACCUGACCAAGAAGCCCCGGCUAACUACGUGCCAGCAACCGCGGUAAUACGUAGGGGGCAAGCGUUAUCCGGAAUUACUGGGUGUAAAGGGAGCGUAGACGGGGAUGCAAGUCUGGAGUGAAAGGGGGGGGCCCAACCCCCGGACUGCUCUGGAAACUGUGUAACUUGAGUGAAGGAGGGGGAAGCGGGAUUCCUAGUGGAGCGGUGAAAUGCGUAGAUAUUAGG